This 486-nucleotide ribosomal RNA is filed under the name uncultured bacterium. RNAcentral's name for it is "partial 16S ribosomal RNA". It matches the Rfam family "Bacterial small subunit ribosomal RNA", at positions 30 to 507 of the family's 1533-position model. The record is from RNAcentral.
AUUGAACGCUGGCGGCAUGCCUUACACAUGCAAGUCGAACGGCAGCACGGGUGCUUGCACCUGGUGGCGAGUGGCGAACGGGUGAGUAAUACAUCGGAACAUGUCCUGUAGUGGGGGAUAGCCCGGCGAAAGCCGGAUUAAUACCGCAUACGAUCCACGGAUGAAAGCGGGGGACCUUCGGGCCUCGCGCUAUAGGGUUGGCCGAUGGCUGAUUAGCUAGUUGGUGGGGUAAAGGCCUACCAAGGCGACGAUCAGUAGCUGGUCUGAGAGGACGACCAGCCACACUGGGACUGAGACACGGCCCAGACUCCUACGGGAGGCAGCAGUGGGGAAUUUUGGACAAUGGGCGAAAGCCUGAUCCAGCAAUGCCGCGUGUGUGAAGAAGGCCUUCGGGUUGUAAAGCACUUUUGUCCAGAAAGAAAUCCUUGACUCUAGUACAGUCGGGGGAUGACGGUACCGGAAGAAUAAGCACCGGCUAACUACGUG